RNAcentral lists this ribosomal RNA (327 nucleotides) under uncultured eukaryote. RNAcentral describes it as "partial 18S ribosomal RNA". It matches the Rfam family "Eukaryotic small subunit ribosomal RNA", at positions 1470 to 1796 of the family's 1831-position model. The record is from RNAcentral.
CCCCUAGAUGUUCUGGGCCGCACGCGCGCUACACUGAACAGUUCAACAAGUCUUAACCUUGGCCGAUAGGUCUGGGUAAUCUUUGAACGCUGUUCGUGAUUGGGAUAGACCUUUGCAAUUAUGGGUCUUCAACGAGGAAUUCCUAGUAAACGCAAGUCAUCAGCUUGCAUUGAUUACGUCCCUGCCCUUUGUACACACCGCCCGUCGCACCUACCGAUUGAAUGGUCCGGUGAAGGCUUCGGAGGCGGCUUUCUCAAUGUUUAUUCGGCGAGACUGCUGCCAAAGUUGAAUGAACCUUACCAUUUAGAGGAAGGUGAANUCGUAACA